Long non-coding RNA from Musa acuminata AAA Group (dessert banana), 4122 nucleotides. RefSeq lists it as uncharacterized. The record is from RefSeq and is a predicted model, not a curated record. The transcript is spliced from 4 exons. NCBI's taxonomy places the organism in Eukaryota, Viridiplantae, Streptophyta, Magnoliopsida, Zingiberales, Musaceae.
AACCACGCACACAUCGGAUCAGUCAUAUAAACAAACACCUCGGCGUCGGAGUUGAUCGAGUGGUGUUCCGCACAAACAGCGAUCAAGAGAAUCAUGAAGCAGCGGGAGAACAUGAACACACGGUAAAAAUGCAAAGAAGGAAACAGAGAGCUUCGGCGAUCAUUACCCACGACGCUCGAUCUCCCGGUGCCGAUCGUCAUCCCUCCUCACCAACACCACGAAUGUGGAGGGAGACGGAGGUGUGCGGUGGGAGUAGCACUAAAGAACGAGAGGUGGCAGUUGGGCACUGCUUGAUAUCCGAUCCAACGGUUCUUGUUCGCCGUCCGGACCCCACGGCCGAGAUUCCUCGCCUGUCCUUCUAGAUCUUGCUCGUCCGUCGAGGAUCGGACGGUUCGCGUAAAAUUUACGCGAACAUUUGCGCCUGGUGCUGUCCAUUUCUUUUAUCUUUUCUUCCUUUCUUUUUUCCCUAUUUGUGAUGCCCAGGUCCCACCAACGGAGAUUGUGAGGGAUUUGAAGGAGGUCGGUGAUCGUUCUUGGUUGCUCGAGGUACCUUUUUCGGAUUCGAAUUCUGUUUGCAGUUAGAAGGCGAAAUGUAUUCUGGUCUAAACUCAUCUGAUGAUGAUGAUGACGUUGGUGGGUUCUUUUUUUUUUGCUACUAUUAGGGUUUCGCGUCUGCAAUUUUUACUCGAUUUGGAUUUUUGUUUUUUGAUUCGAAUUUUGUUUCCAGUUAGAAGGCGAAUUGUAUUCUGGUCUCAACUCAUCUGAUGAUGGUGAUGAUGUUGGUGGGUUCUUUUCUUGCUACUUUUAGGGUUUCAGUCUGCAAUGUUUACUCGAUUUGGAUUUUUUUUUUUUCGAUUCGAAUUCUGUUUCCAGUUAGAAGGCGAAAUGUAUUCUGGUCUCAAUUCAUCUGAUGAUGAUGAUGAUGAUGAUGUUGGUGGGUUCUUUUGUAGCUACUUUUAGGGUUUCACUUCUCCAAUUUUUACUCGAUUUGGAUUUUUUUGCGAUUCGAAUUCUGUUUCCAGAUAGAAGGCGAAAUGUAUUCUGGUCUCAAUUCAUCUGAUGGCGAUGAUGAUGUUGCUGGGUUCUUUUGUAGCUACUUUUAGGGUUCUUUUGAGCAGUUGGUUUUUUUUCCUUCGAUAUCGAAACUCUCUGUCAAUCAUAUGUUAGGUUAUGAUAAAAUGGGGUUAAAAUGGAGAAGUAGAAUCAAGAUUGAUGAUUUCAUAUUUCAUGUUGGCAUUGGAUCAUAUAGGCUGCCUUCGCGUCACGUGUGUUGACAAACGAGGCAUCACAAGUCCACAACUGACGAUAGGUUUUUGUCAUGUCUAAAUCCAAAUAAACAGUAUUGAUGAAUCUGUGUUCUUUUAAAUUCGGCUUUCAGUUCUCCGCACAAUGUGAUUGUCUCCAACCAGCAUGGCAUGAGUAUACAUACUGGUAACAAUUUGAUGAUGCAGGGCAGCAUAUAUUCUUGCUUCUGUUUGUCAUGCAUAGCACAGACUAGGGUUGAAGAGCCACUUGAAAUAAUUUGUCGUAAAUGUUGUGCAAUCCCUGAGGUCAUUUUCUUAGUCUGGUGGAUGUUAGAAAUCCAUUAGUACUCGUCUACGUACUUUCUCCUUCCAUUCCUCUGUAAAGUUUUCUUUUUGUAAUUUUGUAGCAUUGACCUUUUAUUACAAGUGCUUGGGAAAUUAAGUGAAUCUUUCUUCCAUCCGAUUUUGUUAGAUGCUUCCUCUUUUUUAUUGUUUCGAGUUCUCUAUAACCUGUAUUCAAUGUAUAUCGACACACACCCCUGCUUUAGAAGCCCUGAACCUAACUUUGACUAUGACGACAGGUCAUAGGCAACUCCAGAAUAUGGGCCUUUUAAUUUGUUAUCCUAGUUUUUUUUUUUCAAUUGGUGGUCCAUGUCUUCAAGGGAAUCCAGAGAUUGAAGUAAUUUGGACAAAAUUAAUGCCAAAUACCACCUACUGUAAUGACAAAUAUUAAUUUUGGACAACAAUUAAUUGACUUUUCCAUUCAUCAAAUGAAUGGCAAACAUCUAUGGCUGCCACGACAACUUUUAGCUGUCCCUUCCAAUGAUCAUUACGGCCCAUGCAUUUCCUACCAAUGAUACAUCAAAAAUGCUUGUCAUGCAUUGUGCUUGUGUGCCCGAGAUUUGAUGCACUGCAUCAAUUUUGUUUUAUAGUAGAUAUUUUCUUUAGGACAAACAUAAGGGAUCCGCAAUGAGUACCUUGAUCAGUGUUUAUAGAACAAUAGCCUUGUCGUGUCCAUUUUUGCCUGAAAAAUAUAUAUUAGUUACUUAUAAAGAAUACUUGUACUUGUUUUCUUCUCUAUGUAUAUUGUGAUGCAGAUGAAAGAAUGCUAAUAGACUAUACCUUAUUCUCGGAAUACGUAUCAAUUGCAAGUGGCAAUGUAACCCUUUAUUUGUUUAGGUACUCUCUUUUCUAUCGUCGAUUGUUUUGGGAUAUUUAAUAUGGCAUUUUUUUUGGCCUACUUGUAAAAGAUAAAGGAAGACUUCAUUGGGAUCCAUUUCAACUCAACUAUUAAUUAAAUAUACACAUCACGACCAACUUGUAUAGCUAACAGUUGACAUGCAUUACAAGCAUUCGCUAAUCUGCCAUCAUCUAGUGUCUACCUGACAGCUCCUCUAGAGCAGCUUAUCUUCAUUGCAAUGUUGCACUCUUGAAUGUUAUUUAUCCACCUUCUGUAGACCUAAUAAAACAUUUGCUGAUAUGAAUGCUCUGACAUGGCCCUUUGUGGACAUGCAAUUAAAGAAAGUAGUUGGUGUUUCACUUGUUUGUGUGACAAGGUGUUGUAUAUAAUGCUUUCACAUGGUGCUUUAAAAUCCAUUGUGACUGGAAGAAUCAGCUGUUUUGGAAAUCUUCCUUCUUUUGUUUCAAAUAACUCUGCAGUUAUGCAUGUGGGUUUUUAACGUUGUUGAUCUGUUGUUGAGAAGAAGGGGUUGAUGAAAGAUGAAGAAGAAACGAUAGUUUGGUGACAAUGAUGGAGCACGUUUUAAGAUGAGGAUGCCUUCUACGUGGAGGAGCUGAUCAUGGAUGUUCUGAUUUUGAUUUCAAGCAAAUCAACCAUUCAUAUCAACAUGAACUCCAACACUAGUGACGACUUUCUUGAUGACUGAGCAGGAGAAGGUGCCCUUGUCUGACAAUCUAUUGAUAUCAUGGCCAAGCGACAUCUAUCUAAUCAGAAGCUGGCGUUUGCAGCUGGAGAAUUAGAUGGUCUUCUUAAUUUCCCCAUCACCCUCCAUGAUGUCAUGCUGGAGCAAUUUUAAUAUGCAGCAUUCACAAAACCCACCAAUAUAAAUGGUUCUGACUUGGGGCUAAUGACUUUGUGAUGAGUUCGGAGUUCAGCACACAGCACAAGGCUGUGCAUGUGCUCAUCUUUAUUUCUGGUCAGGUUCAUGAGGGGGACUUGAAACACACCCACCAGGGAAGACAAGAAAUUUAACAAAGCAUUGAUUGACUGAAAGCUGGAAAGCUUAAUGGAUUCAUUAUUCUCCAGCUUGGAGAGAUCUAGUCUCAGAGCUCUUCAAUGUACAGAUUCCAGCUCUGGAUGGGGAGUGGUGGUCAAAGCAUAUGUCCAGAGAUUAAAAACAACUCCCCUACUUCUCAUUCCCUAUGUUGCCACUGUGGACUUAUUUGACAAACGCAGCAUGGCUUCUCUUUUUUCUUAAAGGUUAGGAAUGAUGUUUGCAAGAUUAGCAUUUGGAGCACAAGAGAUUGAUGAAAUGAGGAGAUCGAUGGAUUGUGUUUGAGCAGAGUCAUGUACAAGACGAUCUCAAGCUUAACUCAAGUGUUAUCAUGAGUUAUGAUGGUUUCAACUUUGCUCACUCCUGGGGACACAGGAAGGAUCAGCAUCUGGAGAAACAGAGGAUUAGAAACAGCGGGGUGACAUUGUCACAGUCCAACUCACUUCCUGCAGGAUCAUGGAGUUUUAUGUUGAAGAAGGACUAGAGUCGGUGAGCUUAUACAAUUAACGUAAUUAUACAUAAUUUAGGACAAACAAAAAAACAGAGGGUUAAUGAGAAAUGAUGGAGGUGCCAUAAUGUCCGACACUUGGUCUCUACCGGUGAAGGAUUCAGAACUUAAUUCAAGUGAGGAUGUGAGCUUGCAA